CGGGCUAAUAGUUUAAUUAAAAUUUUGGCAUUGGAAGCUAAGGAUUGGAGUUUUUGUCUCUAUUGCUCGA
Molecule: transfer RNA, 70 nt
Filed under: Bouchetitrochus caledonicus
Lineage: Eukaryota; Metazoa; Mollusca; Gastropoda; Pleurotomariida; Pleurotomariidae
Description: tRNA-Pro
Source: RNAcentral